AACGAACGCUGGCGGCAGGCCUAACACAUGCAAGUCGAACGCCCUAGCAAUAGGGAGUGGCAGACGGGUGAGUAACACGUGGGAACGUGCCUUUCGGUUCGGAAUAACCCAGGGAAACUUGGACUAAUACCGGAUACGUGCGAGAGCAGAAAGAUUUAUCGCCGAAAGAUCGGCCCGCGUCCGAUUAGCUAGUUGGUGAGGUAACGGCUCACCAAGGCGACGAUCCUUAGCUGGUCUGAGAGGAUGAUCAGCCACACUGGGACUGAGACACGGCCCAGACUCCUACGGGAGGCAGCAGUGGGGAAUAUUGGACAAUGGGCGCAAGCCUGAUCCAGCCAUGCCGCGUGAGUGACGAAGGCCUUAGGGUUGUAAAGCUCUUUUGGCGGGGAAGAUAAUGACGGUACCCGCAGAAUAAGCUCCGGCUAACUUCGUGCCAGCCGCCGCCGUAAU
Molecule: ribosomal RNA, 450 nt
Filed under: uncultured bacterium
Lineage: Bacteria
Description: bacterial SSU rRNA
Rfam family: Bacterial small subunit ribosomal RNA
Source: RNAcentral